Molecule: long non-coding RNA, 2765 nt
Organism: Canis lupus familiaris (dog)
Lineage: Eukaryota; Metazoa; Chordata; Mammalia; Carnivora; Canidae
Exons: 5
Source: RefSeq, a predicted model, not a curated record
UUGUGAGUGCGCUAGAGCAAGGGGGCCCUGGAGGUGGAGGAACCCAAGAAGGCUCCCUUGUGUGGUCACAGCCAUUUGUGAGAACAAGGGACACCACCAGUGAUGGCAAGGCUGCGAAGGCUCCCAAAAGGCCAUGAACAGAUGACCACUUAUGGCCUGUGUGACAUGGUUGCCAUCAGCCAGGACCUUCCUGACAGCCCCAGGCAGAUGCCACCCGCUGAUCUCCCUGCGGCCACCCCGGACUCCCGACAUCUCCCACCCGUGGCCCCAGCCCAGCCCCCACGGCUGUCCUGGAGGGACAUGAUCUUUCUUGAGGGAGGUUCAGCCCCCUUCCACGCAGCACCCCCAAUCCAGGGUAUGGCGAUAUGGACCCAAAUGCUCAGCCUAUACACAGGGGUCCCCUGGCGCCCAGCCUCGUACCUCCAUGGUGAUCACCUCCACCUGGACAUUGGUCGGGAGGGGCAGGUCAGGCUGGAAGCGCUUGGCCAGGGCCACGAGCAGAUGCAAGGUGGCCAGCAGGUCCUUGCUGAAGAUGGCUGGGAGGGGAGAUGGCACAGGUCAGAGCCAAGUGGCCACACAGAGGCCUCCUUGUUGUCACCCACCCUCUGAAGACCAAGGAGCUCUGCGUCCAGCCUUCUGGAGGGGAGAGGUCUGGAGACAUUCCUUCAGAACUCGAAACUGUCACCCUUUGCCCUCGUCACCCCACUCUGCUAAUGCAGCCCACGGGCACAAGCCACCUCGCGGACGGGACUUCAGACACAGAGACAGUCACUGCGGACAAUUGUGAGCAACUCAAUGCCCUACAGUGGGGCCCUGGCCGAAGAAGCUGCUGGAUUCAGAUGAGUGUGACUUAAUUCAGGGCAACGUUAUACACACUGGGCAUUGAAAGCGAGUCUUUAAACGUGGUGGUGAAGGCAGCGGCAUGAGACCCAACAAGAACUGGGCUUGAGCACGGCUCCAUCAUCACCCCCAGCCCUGGCUUCGGACCACGAUGUGCUCUGGGAGGAGCUUGGCAUUAAUCCACUCCAUCAGGACCUGCAGACGCCCAGGGACCUGGGCUGGUGGGGCUGACUGGUCCUGUGCCAGGGGCGGGUGCCGGGAAGCUGCCGUAACAGGUAUGUGAAAGUGGGGAGGUGGCCAUGGAACAGGAUAAGGGGAAGAAUCUCGAAGGGCCUCACUAGCCAAAGCCUAAACUGCCCCGAAGAGGCUGUCGGUGGGGACGUGGACCCUAAGCAGGUGUGUCUGGUGAGAGCUCAUAAGGACAGGAAGGACAUGACACUGAGAACACGGUGGAGGCCCCGUGACCAGGGAGGCAGAGGCUGCAGGGGCGCGUCUACAGGCCAAGGGACCCAAGGGUUGUCGGGGCCUCCUGACGCCGGGAGAGAGGCCUGGGAUGGGGUCCUCCUUGGAGCCUCCGGGAGGAACCCCCUGCCCACACCCCAACUUAGGACUUCUGGCCUCCAGGCUGAGACACAAUCACCGCCUCUUGCUUUAAGCUAUGGGGUUUAUUAUGGUGCCGAGUGGCGGCAGCCCCUGGACACCGGCACAGACUACGACCGUGGUGCACACCCCUGCUCCUCCUGCAGCUCUGCCCAGGCGCCCCACCCUGCCUGGGCUCCACAGGCCAGAGGGGCAGGAAGUGGAGCUCCGUGCCUUUAAGGGUGCAGCACCAGCUACUCCAGAGCAGGCAUUCGACAGACCUCCCAGGGACCCGCAGGGUACCCCCCCCGCCAGCCUGAGGUCAGAGAGGGGAGGGGUGCCCGCUAUCCCUGCCCCAAGAAGAUGAACAGACUGCCUCCCGGGAAAUCAGGAGAGACCACAGGAAGCUGCUGUACCUUCUGCAGUUCUUCAAAUUUGGGAUCCCCCCGGGACGUGGGCGGCAGUCUACCCACUUACUCGAGAAGAAGCAUGGCUCACACGAGCCAGGGGGCCGGGCACCGACGAGCCGAGGCAGAUCUCACCUGCGUCCGCCAGGCUCCCAGCCGUGGGCAGGACUCGGGGCCCACGCGCUGACUCUCUGAGCCCCGGGACCCUGGUCGGCAGCUUCCUGGGGUUUCAGACUCAGAACCCACACGUGUCUGGACUGAGAUGGGCCUGCAAGUUCAUCUCGUCCCAGUGAAUGUGGGGGAAACUGAGUCACCAUGUGAGGCCUGCCUUGCCCCGGUUCACAAAGUGCGACGCCUCUGUCUUCCCAUGACGCAGCUGGAGACUUUUCCUAGAUGUUCUGAAAACCUUCAAGUUCUCCAGGCCCGUAUCUCCUGACGAGGAGGGAUGGCUAACCCGCUGGGCACCGGCAGGCCCGGGACCAGCACUGGGGAGUGGGCAGGUGGGCGGUGGGUGCAGGGCUCUGGUGGGACACCCCCCCACCCCUUCCUGGAGCAGGUUUCCUGCCGCUCUAAAUCAUCCCGCGUUCCGGCUCUGCUGGCCAGGACUUCGAGUAUUUCUAAAUCAACUGUGAAACAAAAAAUAAAUAUUUUUUCAAAUAACUAAGCCCUACUGCUAGCAGCAGUUUUGCUCAUGACGCUUUCCAGCCUCAAAUCCUCUAUAAACAGAGCGCACCAGACCGCUAAGGAAGUCAGCCGGGCCCCAGGCUCUCGUGGGCUCCGGGCCUCUCGGCCAGGCCGCAGCGCCCUCCUGAAGCGCUGUCCUCACAGCAUCUCGAGACGGUUGCAUGCUGCUCUUUCACUUAAAUUAUUUCACCCUGGGACGCCUGGGAGGCUCAGCGGUUGAGGGUCUGCCUUCGGCUCACGGCGUGAUCCUGGGGA